UUCAAGUCGUCUAAAUUAUCUGAAAUGACUUUUACGACUACUGUCGAUUUAGCAGCAUUAGUCACAAGUGUGACAAGUUUAUCAACUUCACAAUCGCAUGUUUUUACAUGUUUUAACAUUUUGAAAUAAAUCUCUUGUAAAUUGCUUUCACCCUGAGAUUCAGUAAAAGACACCUGAUCGUACAGCGCGGCACAUAUCCAAGUCAGCAUCAGCAGCCAUAGUAUGAGAGUACCACGCACUGCCCAUCGAAGUGCACAGCGGACUUCUGUACCGAUGUUAGGCUCCUGUGCCUUAAUGGGGCCUCCCCGAUUACGAUCUCGUCUGCAAUAUUUGAUAAAUGUUAAAACUUUUUUUUAACAAUUCUUUUCUUUAAUAAUAGAACCAUCUAUAGCUAUCAUCGACUUUAUGAACCAUUAUUUUGUUCAAAGAUUUGUCAAUAAAAUACAUUUUUACCUGGUGA
Long non-coding RNA from Plodia interpunctella (Indianmeal moth), 460 nucleotides. RefSeq lists it as uncharacterized. The record is from RefSeq and is a predicted model, not a curated record. The transcript has 3 exons. NCBI's taxonomy places the organism in Eukaryota, Metazoa, Arthropoda, Insecta, Lepidoptera, Pyralidae.